RNAcentral lists this ribosomal RNA (423 nucleotides) under Calothrix sp. UAM 346. RNAcentral's name for it is "bacterial SSU rRNA". It matches the Rfam family "Bacterial small subunit ribosomal RNA", at positions 355 to 795 of the family's 1533-position model. Lineage: Bacteria; Bacillati; Cyanobacteriota; Cyanophyceae; Nostocales; Calotrichaceae. The record is from RNAcentral.
UGGGGAAUUUUCCGCAAUGGGCGAAAGCCUGACGGAGCAAUACCGCGUGAGGGACGAAGGCUUUUGGGUCGUAAACCUCUUUUCUCAGGGAAGAUAAUGACGGUACCUGAGGAAUAAGCAUCGGCUAACUCUGUGCCAGCAGCCGCGGUAAUACAGAGGAUGCAAGCGUUAUCCGGAAUGAUUGGGCGUAAAGCGUCCGCAGGUGGUUUGAUAAGUCUGUUGUUAAAGCGUUAGGCUCAACCUAAUAAGGGCAAUGGAAACUAUUAGACUAGAGUACGUUCGGGGCAGAGGGAAUUCCCAGUGUAGCGGUGAAAUGCGUAGAGAUUGGGAAGAACACCGGUGGCGAAAGCGCUCUGCUAGGCCUGUACUGACACUGAGGGACGAAAGCUAGGGGAGCGAAUGGGAUUAGAUACCCCAGUAGUC